GUGCACAUCAAAGCUGAGUGCCAUUUUUCAGUCGGAAUAUCUUCCCAAUCACCUUUCCUCAAUCUCCAAUCUUCAGUUUUCAUAAAAGAGAUCUGUGAGCCAGAUAUGAUGGGAAUCAUUUUACAGAAGAGAAGAGUGAGGCUUACAAAGACUCCAGCAUGCCUCAGAAAAUAAACAACAUAAAGGAUGAAGUUGUAAGGCAAAGGAACCUAUGACAGCGACUCAAUGGAACAAAGAGUGAGUCUCAUCCUCACGUUAAGAUACCACCACCAACAAAUCUGGGUUGGGGAUUUCGUCCCAAUUACUGGCUGUCCCUUCCACUCAAAGCGAAAAGCCACACAUCUUCAAGAAGAAUACAAAGUGAAGCUGGCAUUACUCAGAAAGAGAAUAAACAAAAUUUGUCAUGAAGACUGCGGGAUGAAUGACACAAAUCAGCCAUUUCUUUGAAAGUCAAAAAGU
Molecule: long non-coding RNA, 459 nt
Organism: Eptesicus fuscus (big brown bat)
Lineage: Eukaryota; Metazoa; Chordata; Mammalia; Chiroptera; Vespertilionidae
Exons: 4
Source: RefSeq, a predicted model, not a curated record